AUAUAAUUUAAUGAUAUACACUCCAUCUUAUUGUUAGUUUUUUUU
RNAcentral lists this small RNA (45 nucleotides) under Arabidopsis thaliana (thale cress). Its description in RNAcentral is "ATSL142720". The record is from RNAcentral. Lineage: Eukaryota; Viridiplantae; Streptophyta; Magnoliopsida; Brassicales; Brassicaceae.